This 487-nucleotide unclassified non-coding RNA is filed under the name Hevea brasiliensis (rubber tree). Lineage: Eukaryota; Viridiplantae; Streptophyta; Magnoliopsida; Malpighiales; Euphorbiaceae. The record is from RNAcentral.
CAUCACUGUCUCUCUAUAUAUAGUAUUCACAGUCACUAACAAUUUCUGAUCUAGGGUUCUUUAGCUUUCUUCAUCCUUGGCCGAAAGUUCAAGUCCUUCUGUUCCUUCUCCUCUCUGCCUUCUCCAAAUCAGGAAAAAUGCAAGGGGCCGUUAAUGCAUUUUUGUCCCAUGGAAAUUUGGUAAAAAAUUUGGUUCUACAACGCUUCCGCGUUGCAAAUCCAGCACUAAGGCCUAUUUUGUUUUCUCGUUUUGAGUCUGUCUCAUCUGCCCGUACGGAAGAGCAAAGCUUUGAAAGUACUACCAUUUCUGACAUCUUGAAAGCCAAAGGGAAAGGUGCUGAUGGCUCUUGGCUUUGGUGCACCACUGAUGACACUGUUUAUGAUGCUGUCAAGUCGAUGACGCAUCACAAUGUUGGAGCCUUGGUGGUCGUUAAACCUGGAGAGCAGAAAUCAAUUGCAGGAAUUAUUACGGAAAGAGAUUACCUGAG